UGGGGAAUUUUGGACAAUGGGGGAAACCCUGAUCCAGCCAUCCCGCGUGUGCGAUGAAGGCCUUCGGGUUGUAAAGCACUUUUGGCAGGAAAGAAACGUCAUGGGUUAAUACCCCGUGAAACUGACGGUACCUGCAGAAUAAGCACCGGCUAACUACGUGCCAGCAGCCGCGGUAAUACGUAGGGUGCAAGCGUUAAUCGGAAUUACUGGGCGUAAAGCGUGCGCAGGCGGUUCGGAAAGAAAGAUGUGAAAUCCCAGAGCUCAACUUUGGAACUGCAUUUUUAACUACCGGGCUAGAGUGUGUCAGAGGGGGGUGGAAUUCCGCGUGUAGCAGUGAAAUGCGUAGAUAUGCGGAGGAACACCGAUGGCGAAGGCAGCCUCCUGGGAUAACACUGACGCUCAUGCACGAAAGCGUGGGGAGCAAACAG
This 428-nucleotide ribosomal RNA is filed under the name Acidobacteriota bacterium. RNAcentral describes it as "Acidobacteria bacterium partial 16S ribosomal RNA". It matches the Rfam family "Bacterial small subunit ribosomal RNA", at positions 355 to 775 of the family's 1533-position model. The record is from RNAcentral. Lineage: Bacteria; Pseudomonadati; Acidobacteriota.